This 55-nucleotide transfer RNA is filed under the name Pristimantis cruentus (Chiriqui robber frog). RNAcentral describes it as "tRNA-Cys". Lineage: Eukaryota; Metazoa; Chordata; Amphibia; Anura; Strabomantidae. The record is from RNAcentral.
AAGCCCCGACAGAAAUUAUUCUGUUAGUUGAAAUUUGCGGCCUCGAUUCUAGACC